Molecule: ribosomal RNA, 488 nt
Filed under: uncultured bacterium
Lineage: Bacteria
Description: bacterial SSU rRNA
Rfam family: Bacterial small subunit ribosomal RNA
Source: RNAcentral
AGAGUUUGAUCAUGGCUCAGGAUGAACGCUGGCGGCGUGCCUAACACAUGCAAGUCGAACGGACCCUUCGGGGUUAGUGGCGCACGGGUGAGGAACACGUAGCUUACCUGCCCUUUACACUGAGAUAACUCUGCGAAAGCAGAGCUAAUAUCGGAUAAGCUCACGAGGAACAGUAUCCUGGUGAGAAAAGCUCCGGCGGUAAAGGAGGGGGCUGCGGCCCAUCAGCUAGUUGGUGAGGUAAUGGCUCACCAAGGCACGACGGGCAGGGGACCUGAGAGGGUGACCCCCCACACUGGGACUGAGACACGGCCCAGACUCCUACGGGAGGCAGCAGUGAGGAAUAUUGCUCAAUGGGCGCAAGCCUGAAGCAGCGACGCCGCGUGGACGAUGAAGGUCUUCGGAUCGUAAAGUCCUUUUCUGUGUGACGAGGAAGGACGGUAGCACAGGAAUAAGUGUCGGCUAAUACGUGCCAGCAGCCGCGGUAACAC